GCGGCAGGCUUAACACAUGCAAGUCGAACGGUAGCAGGUAAGUACUUGUACUUAUGCUGACGAGUGGCGGACGGGUGAGUAAUGUUUGGGAAUCUAGCUUAUGGAGGGGGAUAACGACGGGAAACUGUCGCUAAUACCGCGUAGUAUCGGAAGAUGAAAGUGUGGGACCUUAGGGCCACAUGCCAUAGGAUGAGCCCAAGUGGGAUUAGGUAGUUGGUAGGGUAAAGGCCUACCAAGCCUGCGAUCUCUAGCUGGUCUGAGAGGAUGGCCAGCCACACCGGGACUGAGACACGGCCCGGACUCCUACGGGAGGCAGCAGUGGGGAAUAUUGCGCAAUGGGGGCAACCCUGACGCAGCCAUGCCGCGUGAAUGAAGAAGGCCUUCGGGUUGUAAAGUUCUUUCGGUGUUGAGGAAGGAUGUUGUGUUAAUAGCGCAACAAAUUGACGU
This 447-nucleotide ribosomal RNA is filed under the name Haemophilus sp. HK22. RNAcentral describes it as "bacterial SSU rRNA". It matches the Rfam family "Bacterial small subunit ribosomal RNA", at positions 39 to 475 of the family's 1533-position model. The record is from RNAcentral. Lineage: Bacteria; Pseudomonadati; Pseudomonadota; Gammaproteobacteria; Pasteurellales; Pasteurellaceae.